Long non-coding RNA from Hemicordylus capensis (graceful crag lizard), 752 nucleotides. RefSeq lists it as uncharacterized. Lineage: Eukaryota; Metazoa; Chordata; Lepidosauria; Squamata; Cordylidae. The record is from RefSeq and is a predicted model, not a curated record. The transcript is spliced from 3 exons.
GGAGAGAGCAGCCCGCUGAGCAAAGCAAAGGUGGGAGACUGAGCUCAGAGUGAGCACAAAGUGAAACACAGCUGAAAGCAUACAUGAUGCUAAUCCCAUGCAUGGCAGCUCUUGCAAGACUGCAUGAGCAGAUGCCCAGAUAGCGAUGUGGACGAGGGAGAAAAUGGUGGUGGCAGCUGGCCGGCAGACAAAAGGAAUCUUGGAUUGAAGCCAAGGCAACUGGUAAUUCUAACAUGGCCAGUGAUGUACUGCAUCAGCUUCGUUCUUGUGUUCCAAUUAUGCCUGAAGGUAUAUUUUAUUAACAUCAAUGAGUCUUGCACUGGACCCUAUCUGAGUAAAGGCACAAAUCACACAAAAGCAGCAGUGCGAUAAACUAUGGCAGUGAAGAGACUUCAAGGAUAAAAGGUGACAUUUUGUUUGCCCCAAUCUAAACAUACUGAUUCUUUGUUCUUGCUGUGACCUUGUCAGUUGUUAAAUAAAAGGAACAGAGAAUAUAAAAGAAAAUAUCAGUUUUCAGGGUGAAUAAUAACACUAGAGUCAGGAACUGAAGGAUACAACAUUUCCAAGUUGACAGAUAUUUAUUCUCCUCCACCCCAUCCCACCUCCAGGUUUGUAGAGUGCAUUGUAAAAUGUACUGUAUAGAAGUAGGAUUAUCACAACCAUGUUGGCUGAUGUAGAUUUUUGGAAGAUUCAGAUAUUUCUCAGGUGUAUGCUGAAGCUUUGGAGAAGAAAGCAAACAAUAAGUUAGGGAU